GAGUAAUUAGUAUAGUUAUGAGUAUGCUGGCUUGUCAUGCCAGAGGCGCGCCAAUUUUUGACGCAUUAUUCU
This 72-nucleotide transfer RNA is filed under the name Saccostrea mordax (small rock oyster). Its description in RNAcentral is "tRNA-Asp". The record is from RNAcentral. Lineage: Eukaryota; Metazoa; Mollusca; Bivalvia; Ostreida; Ostreidae.